Long non-coding RNA from Hypomesus transpacificus, 596 nucleotides. RefSeq lists it as uncharacterized. The record is from RefSeq and is a predicted model, not a curated record. The transcript is spliced from 4 exons. Lineage: Eukaryota; Metazoa; Chordata; Actinopteri; Osmeriformes; Osmeridae.
GAAGAAGCACCUGGGGAAGUGCUCAACACAGGGGGCAGCAGGGGGCAUAUCGAACCCCAGCUCGGUUGUUGUUGUUACCGUCAGGGAUAAAAGGAGACUAGGACAUUCGUUUAAUCACUGAUGGUGUGGCUUGGCUGAAGACUACCAACUCUUUCGAUGGCUGCUAUUGUAAGUAACUCAUAAAGAGUUUUUUAUUUGUAUUUAUUCCUGUUAAAAAAUGCAUCCCUGGCUUUACAGAGAGCGAGAGUGUCGGUUCAGUGGACGUGUACUUUACUAGUGAUCUCUCUGAUUGUGGAGUCACACCACACGCAACAGGUUAAACUAAAUCCACAUCACUGGGGGCCCCAGUCUAUGAUGUACCUGAAGGGAAAAUAUGGCAGAAGAUAUUUACCUGACGCUCAAAGCACUGUCAAAUUAGGUUUAAAUGGCUGGUUUACAGCAAUCAAAGGUUUCCAGAGGUUGAGAUCAGUGGAAUUCAGAAACCCCAGGAUAUUUCUGACAGGACCAGAAACUGCACCUCUUGGUUAAAAGAUGAUUCAUGUGGAGCUAAUCUGAAACAGUUAUUGUAAAGUAACAGAGAGAGAGAGAAACCAAGA